UCAGAGGUGGGUCUGUGACGACACAGCUGGACCUGCCACCUCAGCCCAGGACUUCAGUGCAGAGACCCUGUGUCCCAAGCUGCAGGGAGCAGGAUGUUCUGUUUCCUGGAUGUCCUGUUCCUGACUCUGAGGAUGAAGGGGAGGAGCAGCCUCCAUUCUCAGACAGGGCCCUGGAUGCCCCUGGACCCAUGAAGGAAGCUACAGCAGCAGAAGCCACAGGCCAGUCCUGAGCAGAAGCUGCUGCGGCUCACCCUCCUGGCAGAGGGGGAAGGGGGUUCUUGUGUCACUUCCCCAUCGGCCUGGAGCAUUGUGGGACCACUCAGGCUGUUAUCCCAUGCUGCACAGUAAUAAUCAGCCUCAUCCUUGGACCGGAGCCCACUGAUGGCCAGGGAGGCUGAGGUGCCAGACUUGGAGCCAGAGAAUCGGUCAGGGACCCCUGAGGGCCGCUGAUUAUUAUCAUAGAUGAGGUGUUUGGGGGCCAUUCCUGGGAACUGCUGGUACCAGUAUACAUAAUUACUUCCGAUGUUGGAGCUGCUUCCAGAACAAGAGAUGGUGACCCUCUGCCCGGGGGUCCCAGACGCUGAGGGUGGCUGGAUCAGCACAGACUGGGCCCAGGACCCUGGAAGUGAGAGAGACACAGACAUGGUGAUUGACAAGAGACAAAAGGAGACAAGAGGAGAAAGCAGGGCCCCAUGGGCUUCCCAGGGCCCCUCUCUUGGUCCCCAUCCUGUCACCUGCACAGUGACCAGAGCCUCUGAGAUUCACCGCUGCCUCCGCCCCGCCCCGGUUUCUGGCCACUGCCCCCACUCUCAAGUCCCGGCCCAGUAAGGUGGCACCUGUGUCUCCCUCCUGUGACCUCAGGGCAGUCUUCACGCUCUACUGGACUCCUCAGGAGUGAAUCUGUCCAUGGAUCUUUGGCUGUACAUUGUAGAGGAUUCAGGUGAUGUCUACACAAAGUCCUUUUAUUUCAGGAUCAAGCCCAGAGCGGGGACCGGCCCCAUGGACUCACUUCCCACCAGUGUUUGACACCGGGUCCUCUCCUCUCAUGUGGCUCCUUCCUGGUGGCCAGGGCUCCACUUCCUCUGUGGAUCCUGCUGCGCUGAGGAGAAAGGGAGCUCUUCCCUCUGGGAUGUCCUGGGGAGGAAUUCCCAGAGGGUGUUUCUGGUAAAUCGUUGUUCUCCCUCUACUUCCCCAGAUUUGCAGUCAUAGUCAUCUGGAUACUGUGACCAGGGAUCUUGCCUAGGAGUCUGUCCUCCAAGCACUGAAUGCCAGUCUGUGGGGGAUCUUGGCAAAUGUCUUUGGAGGGUCUCACUUAUGAGCAAAAAGAGCAAAGAUGCUCAGUCUUUGAAGAUGGGAAGAAUUAAAAUUUUAACUUGGUUUGACAACCAGAGUCUGUCCUCAGGUGAGCCUGAUAUGUGAUAGCUCUUAGCAUCGAGCACCCCAACUAGGAUUUCCAGGGAAAUAUUAUGGUUCAAAUUCAGUAGUGAGUGUUGUGGGGGUGGCUUGAAGAUGAUGGAAAUUAUUCAUCUUUGAUCUGUAAUGACAUCUAGAAUCUAAUAAACUAAAAACAAUAAGCUUAAGAAAAAAGAUAAUUCUGUUAAUCAAAAUGAAAAAUGAAAUAAUGUCUAUGACUUCAUGAGUUCUGGCAUGAUACACCCUGGGCUCUUAACAAAUAUUUGUUUGGGGUAUUUUAUGGGGAUGGAGGAAAACAGCUGGAUGGUUAUGUUGAUAUUUAUAUACUGUUGAAUGUAUCAUCAGGCAGUUGCAAUACAAUGAGAUUAUGUAUGUAUUUAUUUAUUUAUUUUUUUGAUCCAGAGUCUUGAUCUGUUGCCCAGGCUGGAGUGCAGUGGCACCAUCUUGGCUAAAUGCAACCUCCACCUCCCAGGUUCAAGCAAUUCUCCUGCCUCAGCCCUCCAAGUAGCUGGAAAUACCAACGUGCGCCACCAUGCCCAGCUAAUUUUUGCAUUUUUUUAGUAGAGACGGGGUUUCACCAUGUUGGCCAGGCUGGUCUCCAACUCCUGAUCUUGUGAUCGGCCCACCUCGGACUCCCAAAGUGCUGGGAUUACAGGCGUGAGCCACGGCGCCUGGCCACAAUGAGAUUUUAAAUGCUCCAUUUAAACAACCAAAUAGUGAGAUUUAUUGCAGGCAUUUAAAUAAAACCAAUCCGUAUAUGUAACUGAAAUAAAAUGGAUGCUGUGUUUUGGGAUUGCAUUUCAAGUGUGUCAGUGUUUUAAAUGUUCCUUUUAGUGUAAG
This 2253-nucleotide long non-coding RNA is filed under the name Pongo abelii (Sumatran orangutan). Its description in RNAcentral is "lncRNA (ENSPPYG00000040667.1)". The record is from RNAcentral. Lineage: Eukaryota; Metazoa; Chordata; Mammalia; Primates; Hominidae.